CAGCCGCCGCGGUAAUACGAAGGGGGCUAGCGUUGCUCGGAAUUACUGGGCGUAAAGGGAGCGUAGGCGGACAUUUAAGUCAGGGGUGAAAUCCCGGGGCUCAACCUCGGAAUUGCCUUUGAUACUGGGUGUCUUGAGUAUGAGAGAGGUAUGUGGAACUCCGAGUGUGGAGGUGAAAUUCGUAGAUAUUCGGAAGGACACCAGUGGCGAAGGCGACAUACUGGCUCAUUACUGACGCUGAGGCUCGAAAGCGUGGGGAGCAAACAGGAUUAGAUACCCCGGUAGUCUCUGUCUCUUAUAC
RNAcentral lists this ribosomal RNA (301 nucleotides) under uncultured bacterium. Its description in RNAcentral is "partial 16S ribosomal RNA". It matches the Rfam family "Bacterial small subunit ribosomal RNA", at positions 509 to 807 of the family's 1533-position model. The record is from RNAcentral.